CGACUGGCGGGGCGCGCGACAGUCGCCCGCGUGACGCGCAUCCGAACGCACGCGUGCGUCAGAACGCAACACAUCCAAAAACGCAAUACUCAACACAAUACGAAGCUUUAAACAUUUAAAAUAAAAAAA
Manduca sexta (tobacco hornworm) is the source of this 129-nucleotide long non-coding RNA. RefSeq lists it as uncharacterized. The transcript has 2 exons. The record is from RefSeq and is a predicted model, not a curated record. Lineage: Eukaryota; Metazoa; Arthropoda; Insecta; Lepidoptera; Sphingidae.